Molecule: unclassified non-coding RNA, 335 nt
Filed under: Yarrowia lipolytica
Lineage: Eukaryota; Fungi; Ascomycota; Dipodascomycetes; Dipodascales
Source: RNAcentral
AGAGCCAGAACCGGAGCCAACAAGACGCUUUCAGAAAAACGCCAAGGACCUAAACAGCAAGGGCGGCGGUCUUUUUGCUAUUGUUCGGAUCACGUGACCCGUAUGGGGCUGCCUGCAACCGCCGUCUGUUACCCUGUUUAUUGUGGCGUGAGGGGUCAAACGUUUUUACACCGUGGCUCUGAGUUUGGCUAUAGAAGAAGUACAGUAUUGUUAGUGGUAGUACGUAUCUACUGGUCUGUGGUUAGUGUUGCGAUUAUUUUCUUCUCAUAACUGUGUCGAUUCUGUUGCUGUAAGUUUUUCUAUUGAGUCAAUUUUAUUAUGUGAUGUUUUUUGGU